GGCAUUCCCUUUGAUGAGUAAAAAAGUGGCUGGAUGGCUGGGGCCAAAGGGUGGUGGUGAAUAGAGGUAAAUCCAGUUGGUGGCCAGUCACAAGUGGUGUUCCCCAGGGCUCAGUUUUGGGGCCAGUUCUCUUUAAUAUCGUUAUCAAU
Aquila chrysaetos chrysaetos is the source of this 149-nucleotide long non-coding RNA. RefSeq lists it as uncharacterized. The transcript is spliced from 3 exons. The record is from RefSeq and is a predicted model, not a curated record. Lineage: Eukaryota; Metazoa; Chordata; Aves; Accipitriformes; Accipitridae.